Molecule: ribosomal RNA, 49 nt
Filed under: Obelia dichotoma (sea thread hydroid)
Lineage: Eukaryota; Metazoa; Cnidaria; Hydrozoa; Leptothecata; Obeliidae
Description: partial 16S ribosomal RNA
Source: RNAcentral
AAUUUUCUUAAAUAAAGAGGUUGGUAGUUUAGUUGGGGCGACCGCGGGA